RNAcentral lists this ribosomal RNA (655 nucleotides) under uncultured Bacteroides sp. RNAcentral describes it as "bacterial SSU rRNA". It matches the Rfam family "Bacterial small subunit ribosomal RNA", at positions 68 to 715 of the family's 1533-position model. The record is from RNAcentral. Lineage: Bacteria; Pseudomonadati; Bacteroidota; Bacteroidia; Bacteroidales; Bacteroidaceae.
AGCAUGGUCUUAGCUUGCUAAGGCCGAUGGCGACCGGCGCACGGGUGAGUAACACGUAUCCAACCUGCCGUCUACUCUUGGACAGCCUUCUGAAAGGAAGAUUAAUACAAGAUGGCAUCAUGAGUUCACAUGUUCACAUGAUUAAAGGUAUUCCGGUAGACGAUGGGGAUGCGUUCCAUUAGAUAGUAGGCGGGGUAACGGCCCACCUAGUCUUCGAUGGAUAGGGGCUCUGAGAGGAAGGUCCCCCACAUUGGAACUGAGACACGGUCCAAACUCCUACGGGAGGCAGCAGUGAGGAAUAUUGGUCAAUGGGCGCAGGCCUGAACCAGCCAAGUAGCGUGAAGGAUGACUGCCCUAUGGGUUGUAAACUUCUUUUAUAAAGGAAUAAAGUCGGGUAUGGAUACCCGUUUGCAUGUACUUUAUGAAUAAGGAUCGGCUAACUCCGUGCCAGCAGCCGCGGUAAUACGGAGGAUCCGAGCGUUAUCCGGAUUUAUUGGGUUUAAAGGGAGCGUAGGCGGGUUGUUAAGUCAGUUGUGAAAGUUUGCGGCUCAACCGUAAAAUUGCAGUUGAUACUGGCGACCUUGAGUGCAACAGAGGUAGGCGGAAUUCGUGGUGUAGCGGUGAAAUGCUUAGAUAUCACGAAGAACUCCGAUUG